Molecule: long non-coding RNA, 201 nt
Filed under: Elaeis guineensis (African oil palm)
Lineage: Eukaryota; Viridiplantae; Streptophyta; Magnoliopsida; Arecales; Arecaceae
Description: long non-coding RNA (EGUI_LNC025122)
Source: RNAcentral
GAGUCACCUAAUAAUGGGAACUUGCUGUGAAAUUUUUUAUAUCCAUUUUAGAGCUUUUGAAUAAAGGUCCAUGAUACCAGAAGUGAUAUCUAUGUUAGUAAGACAGCAAUAUGGUAUGAUAUGAUACCAUGCUAUAUCAUUUUGGUAUGUACUGACAAAAAGAGAUCAUAGGAGAGGGAUAAGAGAAGAGAGAGAGAGGUG